This 740-nucleotide long non-coding RNA is filed under the name Phascolarctos cinereus (koala). Its description in RNAcentral is "lncRNA (ENSPCIG00000017938.2)". Lineage: Eukaryota; Metazoa; Chordata; Mammalia; Diprotodontia; Phascolarctidae. The record is from RNAcentral.
CAGGGUGCUAAAAGGCACAGGGAGGACCUUCACUAACUUGAAUCAUUUGUUGAGGGAUUUAUCUUACAUCCCUUCUGUCCUUGACCCUUGCCAGGCCCCUUAGAUGGCUUACUAGAAAGAAGACUGGGCUCCUGGACCCUCAGCUGGAGAAAAGUACAAAUCACAUUAUGCCUGGAUUUCCUCUCAACAUCUUCACAGAGGGAAAGAAACUGAAGAACAGGGUAUAUUAGUGCCUGACCAAAGAGUGAAUGAUUGGGUGGAGCACCCUGCCUGAGGAGAUGGAAACCUGGAACAAAGACGUGUUUUUGAAAUGUCUGUGGCUCUGCUUUGCCUCAUCUCUCCUGCUGGAUCUGAAGUGUAUUUUGGAUGGUGAGGUUGGAGGAAAGUUUAUACUCCUUGGGCAGGGCUGCUGCUAUGUCAUACCAGCUAUCCAAGCUCCUCAGGAAGAUAAGAAGUUAAUGGAACCCAAAGAUUCAGAGUUGCCUUUCUCCAGAAGCAAAGCUGUCAGGAUUUUGUACAGCAGCGCCUGGCAAUAAAGCAGAACCAUGCACCCAGCAACACCUUUGAUCUCGACCAUAUGGAGUUCCUCCUUGCUCUUGAAAAAAUCUCCCUUGUCUCCGAGAGAAACUGGGGCCCCCAGAUGGCCACAUACCACUCCUGACCACGACUUCAUUGAUUAUGCUAUUUUCUGAUUGGUCCUGAUUGAAAAUAAAUAAAACGUGCCUUUGGAAUGGGAUGCA